Molecule: unclassified non-coding RNA, 253 nt
Filed under: uncultured Caryophanales bacterium
Lineage: Bacteria; Bacillati; Bacillota; Bacilli; Caryophanales
Description: uncultured Bacillales bacterium contains 16S-23S intergenic spacer region
Rfam family: Bacterial small subunit ribosomal RNA
Source: RNAcentral
UACGUAGGGGGCAAGCGUUGUCCGGAAUUAUUGGGCGUAAAGCGCGCGCAGGCGGGUGAUUAAGUCAGAUGUGAAAGGCUACGGCUCAACCGUAGAGUUGCAUUUGAAACUGGUCACCUUGAGUGCAGGAGAGGAGAGUGGAAUUCCCGGUGUAGCGGUGGAAUGCGUAGAGAUCGGGAGGAACACCAGUGGCGAAGGCGACUCUCUGGCCUGCAACUGACGCUGAGGCGCGGAAGCGUGGAGAGCGAACAGG